RNAcentral lists this ribosomal RNA (274 nucleotides) under uncultured bacterium. RNAcentral describes it as "partial 16S ribosomal RNA". It matches the Rfam family "Bacterial small subunit ribosomal RNA", at positions 523 to 796 of the family's 1533-position model. The record is from RNAcentral.
AUACGAAGGGGGCAAGCGUUGUUCGGAAUAACUGGGCGUAAAGAGCACGUAGGCGGUGUCAUGCGUCAGAUGUGAAAGACCUGGGCUUAACCUAGGAACUGCAUCUGAAACGGUGACGCUAGAGAUCGAGAGGGGAGAAGGGAAUUAUGCGUGUAGAGGUGAAAUUCGUAGAUAUGCAUAGGAACACCGGUGGCGAAGGCGCUUCUCUGGCUCGAAACUGACGCUAAGGUGCGAAAGCGUGGGGAGCAAACAGGAUUAGAAACCCUAGUAGUCC